Molecule: non-coding RNA, 548 nt
Organism: Myodes glareolus (Bank vole)
Lineage: Eukaryota; Metazoa; Chordata; Mammalia; Rodentia; Cricetidae
Source: RefSeq, a predicted model, not a curated record
GUCAUUUGUAGCUCUUCUCCCCAUCUGCUGAAGAGUCUAAAAACCUUGAUGCAGGAAAAAAAAUCAACCUCAAACCAACCAGUAAUACGCAUCCCUGAUGGCUAGCUCUCAGUCACACUGAAGACUUCACAGCAGCCACGGUUACCUGCAGACCUGUACAAGACCAGACUCUUCAAAUGCUGGCAUAAAUGGAGCAGAUGAUCUCUGACCCCAUCCCUUAUGGCACAACCAUUGUCAGUUGCUAUCUCCUAGAACGUCUCCGGCUUCCUGUGGCAGGUGCAUCUGAAGCUCCACUCCCCUCUGGGUAGCGCUGCAGUGCUGCUUCGAUGUCAAAGUCGUUCGGGAGCUGAGAGAACAGAUGUUGAAAGCCACGAGUUACUCUCAGAAUAGACACCGAAGCUGUUCUCCACCUAGUAGACUUGGAACAAACAUUCAAGAAGUAAAGCAUGUUGUUAAAAGUCAUAGUCCAGCUUCAUGGAGUUUCCAGUGCAACUGAAAUUUUUAUCACAGCAUGAGCAUCAUAUUUUAAACUAAGUAUUACCUGCUCC